This 496-nucleotide ribosomal RNA is filed under the name uncultured Streptococcus sp. RNAcentral describes it as "bacterial SSU rRNA". It matches the Rfam family "Bacterial small subunit ribosomal RNA", at positions 28 to 508 of the family's 1533-position model. The record is from RNAcentral. Lineage: Bacteria; Bacillati; Bacillota; Bacilli; Lactobacillales; Streptococcaceae.
GACGAACGCUGACGGCGUGCCUAAUACAUGCGAGUAGAACGCUGAAGGAGGAGCUUGCUUCUCCGGAUGAGUUGCGAACGGGUGAGUAACGCGUAGGUAACCUGCCUGGUAGCGGGGGAUAACUAUUGGAAACGAUAGCUAAUACCGCAUAAUAGCAGUUGUUGCAUGACAACUGUUUAAAAGGUGCAAUUGCAUCACUACCAGAUGGACCUGCGUUGUAUUAGCUAGUUGGUGGGGUAACGGCUCACCAAGGCGACGAUACAUAGCCGACCUGAGAGGGUGAUCGGCCACACUGGGACUGAGACACGGCCCAGACUCCUACGGGAGGCAGCAGUAGGGAAUCUUCGGCAAUGGACGGAAGUCUGACCGAGCAACGCCGCGUGAGUGAAGAAGGUUUUCGGAUCGUAAAGCUCUGUUGUAAGAGAAGAACGAGUGUGAGAGUGGAAAGUUCACACUGUGACGGUAUCUUACCAGAAAGGGACGGCUAACUACGUGC